Molecule: ribosomal RNA, 441 nt
Filed under: uncultured bacterium
Lineage: Bacteria
Description: partial 16S ribosomal RNA
Rfam family: Bacterial small subunit ribosomal RNA
Source: RNAcentral
CUACGGGCGGCAGCAGUAGGGAAUAUUGCACAAUGGGCGCAAGCCUGAUGCAGCAACGCCGUGUGAGUGAAGAAGGCCUUCGGGUUGUAAAACCCUGUCCUAAGGGAAGAAACAAAUGACGGUACCUUAGGAGGAAGCCCCGGCUAACUACGUGCCAGCAGCCGCGGUAAUACGUAGGGGGCAAGCGUUAUCCGGAAUCACUGGGCGUAAAGGGUGCGUAGGCGGCCUAUCAAGUCAGAAGUGAAAGGCAUUGGCUCAACCAAUGUAAGCUUUUGAAACUGUUGGGCUUGAGUGCAGGAGAGGUAAGUGGAAUUCCUAGUGUAGAGGUGAAAUUCGUAGAUAUUAGGAGGAACACCAGUGGCGAAGGCGACUUACUGGACUGUAACUGACGCUGAGGCACGAAAGCGUGGGGAGCGAACAGGAUUAGAUACCCCGGUAGUC